GCCGGGGUAGGCUCAGUUGGUAGAGCGCUACGGCAGCUUCAGGAGUGAGGUGGCGUCGUAUGGUCGCAGGUUCGAAUCCUGCCCCCGGUA
This 90-nucleotide transfer RNA is filed under the name Muribaculaceae bacterium. Its description in RNAcentral is "tRNA-Leu". It matches the Rfam family "tRNA". From Rfam's summary of the family: Transfer RNA (tRNA) molecules are approximately 80 nucleotides in length. Their secondary structure includes four short double-helical elements and three loops (D, anti-codon, and T loops). Lineage: Bacteria; Pseudomonadati; Bacteroidota; Bacteroidia; Bacteroidales; Muribaculaceae. The record is from RNAcentral.